GACGAACGCUGGCGGCGUGCCUAAUACAUGCAAGUAGAACGCAGUUGCGAACGGGUGAGUAACGCGUAGGUAACUGCCUCAUAGCGGGGGAUAAAUAUUGGAAACGAUAGCUAAUACCGCAUACUGUGAGCUGGACCUGCGUUGUAUUAGCUAGUUGGUGAGGUAGACGCUCACCAAGGCGACUAUACAUAGCCGAACUGAGAGGGUGUGCGGCCACGCUGGGACUGAGAGACGGCCCAGAGUCCGACGGGAUGCAGCAGUAGGGAAUCUUCGGCGAUGGACGGAAGUCUGACCGAGCAACGCCGGGUGAUGGAGGAAGGUUUUCGGAUCGUAAAGCUCUGUUGUUAGAGAAGCGGUAAAUAAAGAGAAAGGGACGGCUAACUACGUGCCAGCAGCCGCGGUAAUAG
RNAcentral lists this ribosomal RNA (407 nucleotides) under uncultured bacterium. Its description in RNAcentral is "partial 16S ribosomal RNA". It matches the Rfam family "Bacterial small subunit ribosomal RNA", at positions 28 to 526 of the family's 1533-position model. The record is from RNAcentral.